This is a non-coding RNA of Mugil cephalus (flathead mullet), 510 nucleotides long. The record is from the annotation of a RefSeq genome assembly. Lineage: Eukaryota; Metazoa; Chordata; Actinopteri; Mugiliformes; Mugilidae.
ACAAACAAGACUGACACUGUUUCACAAAUCUUUAAAAGAAAACUUUCAUCAGACAUCUUUAAGUUUGAUUGUUCACUGUGGAUGGGAUGGAAAAUAUGAUGAUCUGUGGCUUGUUAUUUCUAGUUACUGUUCACGGAGUUUGGAGUGAGAUCAGACUGGACCAGCCUCCCUCUGAGGUGAAGAGACCUGGAGAGACAGUGAAGAUUUCAUGUGUCACAUCUGGUUAUACCAUGACGAGCUACAGUAUUAGCUGGAUACGACAGAAACAAGGGAAAGCUCUGGAGUGCAUUGGAUGGAUUAACACAGCCACAACUGCUGCUACCUAUGCCAGCUCCUUUCAAAGUAGAUUCAGUUUUACUCAGGAUGUGUCCAGCAGCACUCAGUACCUUGACAUCAAGAGUCUGACAGUAGAAGAUUCUGCUGUUUACUUCUGUGCUCGUUAUCACAGUGACUGAAGACAGUGGAGAAGCUGCACAAAAACCUCCACAGACAACAAGUCUACAGAGGGGU